This is a long non-coding RNA of Oncorhynchus nerka (sockeye salmon), 349 nucleotides long. RefSeq lists it as uncharacterized. The record is from RefSeq and is a predicted model, not a curated record. The transcript has 2 exons. Lineage: Eukaryota; Metazoa; Chordata; Actinopteri; Salmoniformes; Salmonidae.
CUUUGCGGCUCUACUUGAGGAGCAUGACAUCUUCGUCCCCGAGGAUGAUGAUGAUGACGACUGAACCUAGGUCAGUGAUGAGAAGAGAGGGUGCUUUGCAAUAAUGAUGGCAUGCCACUAUGAGGAAGGAGAGAGAGAUGCCCCCUACAGGAGAAGAUUGCCCUCAUCAUGAUCCACCUCCCCAUCGCCUUUUUCUCUCUCCACUCUUUUAGUCCCACUUUCACCUCCUUGCCACGGAUUACUACAUAUUAUUUGAUAUCAUUGUGAGGUCACAGCACAGUCAGACUUCACUUUUGCAUGUGUCUUAUUAUUUACUCAAUAAAGAGUCUACGCGUGUAAAAAAUAACAA